This 199-nucleotide unclassified non-coding RNA is filed under the name fungal sp. RNAcentral describes it as "partial internal transcribed spacer region". The stretch from base 1 to 46 matches the Rfam family "Eukaryotic small subunit ribosomal RNA", at positions 1786 to 1831 of the family's 1831-position model. Lineage: Eukaryota; Fungi. The record is from RNAcentral.
AAGUCGUAACAAGGUCUCCGUAGGUGAACCUGCGGAGGGAUCAUUAAUGAAUGACCCUCAUGGGGUCAUCAAGCCCCUUAAAGAAUGUGGAGCGCAGAUGUGCUUCGACGCCUUGAUGGCGUCGCUUCUAUGCCCUUUAGCCUGCCGUCUGAUUUGUUGUCGAUGAUUAAAACUUUCAACAAAGGAUCUCUUGGCUCUU